Molecule: long non-coding RNA, 621 nt
Organism: Priapulus caudatus
Lineage: Eukaryota; Metazoa; Priapulida; Priapulimorpha; Priapulimorphida; Priapulidae
Exons: 3
Source: RefSeq, a predicted model, not a curated record
GACCGCUACGUGUAUGACAGUCUGACCGCUACGUGUAUGACAGUCUGACCGCUACGUGUAUGACAGUCUGACCGCUACGUGUAUGACAGUCUGACAGCUACGUGUAUGACAGUCUACCCGCUACGUGUAUGACAGUCUGACCGCUACGUGUAUGACAGUUUGACCGCUACGUGUAUGACAGUUUGACCGCUACGUGUAUGACAGUCUGACCGCUACGUGUAUGACAGUCUGACCGCUACGUGUAUGACAGUCUGACCGCUACGUGUACGACAGUCUGACCGCUACGUGAUGCCCCUUGUAUGCAAUGUCCACUGUACUGACCGGGUAGAGGCGGCUGACACAAGCAGAAUAAACCACCGACCCGGCCAUGAUGUCCGACACAGACUGACCACAGAGAUAGCCGGAGAGACUGACCGGGUGGAUACAGCUGACCGGGUGGAUACAGGUGACCGGGUGACCGGGUGGAUACAGGUGACCGGGUGACCAGGUGGAUACAGCUGACCGGGUGACCGGGUGGAUACAGGUGACCGGGUGACCGGGUGGAUACAGGUGACCGGGUGACCGGGUGGAUACAGGUGACCGGGUGGAUACAGGUUGACCGGGUGACCGGUGGAUAUAGGU